CGGCGACUCCCCCGCGGCGGGCGGCGGCGACUCCACGGUACCUAGGCCGCUCCCGUUUACAGCAAUUGGUUCAAUGGUGUGGCCACGAGUUUGACGGUCUCCUAGUGUUUGAUGAGUGCCACAAGGCCAAAAAUCUGAUUCCUGAUGCAGGGAGCCAGCCCACUCGCACGGGAAAAGCAGUUCUUGAGAUCCAGGUCUUUAAGACGUGUCAUACGGUUUUGCAACCCUUGCAACUGAGUUCAAUAGAAGCAUCAGUGGUUGAGG
Molecule: long non-coding RNA, 264 nt
Organism: Setaria italica (foxtail millet)
Lineage: Eukaryota; Viridiplantae; Streptophyta; Magnoliopsida; Poales; Poaceae
Exons: 3
Source: RefSeq, a predicted model, not a curated record